This 553-nucleotide ribosomal RNA is filed under the name uncultured bacterium. Its description in RNAcentral is "bacterial SSU rRNA". It matches the Rfam family "Bacterial small subunit ribosomal RNA", at positions 355 to 896 of the family's 1533-position model. The record is from RNAcentral.
UAGGGAAUCUUCGGCAAUGGACGGAAGNUUGGACCGAGCAACGCCACGUGAGUGAAGAAGGUUUUCGGAUCGUAAAGCUCUGUUGUAAGAGAAGAACGAGUGUGAGAGUGGAAAGUUCACACUGUGACGGUAUCUUACCAGAAAGGGACGGCUAACUACGUGCCAGCAGCCGCGNNAAUACGUAGGUCCCGAGCGUUGUCCGGAUUUAUUGGGCGUAAAGCGAGCGCAGGCGGUUAGAUAAGUCUGAAGUUAAAGGCUGUGGCUUAACCAUAGUAGGCUUUGGAAACUGUUUAACUUGAGUGCAAGAGGGGAGAGNGGAAUUCCAUGUGUAGCGGUGAAAUGCGUAGAUAUAUGGAGGAACACCGGUGGCGAAAGCGGCUCUCUGGCUUGUAACUGACGCUGAGGCUCGAAAGCGUGGGGAGCAAACAGGAUUAGAUACCCUGGUAGUCCACGCUGUAAACGAUGAGUGCUAGGUGUUAGACCCUUUCCGGGGUUUAGUGCCGUAGCUAACGCAUUAAAGCACUCCGCCUGGGGAGUACGACCCGCAAGGUUG